Molecule: ribosomal RNA, 407 nt
Filed under: uncultured bacterium
Lineage: Bacteria
Description: partial 16S ribosomal RNA
Rfam family: Bacterial small subunit ribosomal RNA
Source: RNAcentral
GACGAACGCUGGCGGCGUGCCUAAUACAUGCAAGUAGAACGCAGUUGCGAACGGGUGAGUAACGCGUAGGUAACUGCCUGGUAGCGGGUGAUUACUAUUGGUAACGAUAGCUAAUACAGCAUACUACCAGCUGGACCUGCGUUUUAUUUGCUAGUUGGUGGGGUAACGGCGCACCAAGGCAACGAUACCUAGCCGACCUGAGAGGGUGAUCGGCCACACUGGGACUGAGACACGGCCCAGACUCCUACGGGAGGCAGCAGUAGGGAAUCUUCGGCAAUGGACGGAAGUCUGACCGAGCAACGCCGCGUGAGUGAAGAAGGUUUUCGGAUCGUAAAGCUCUGUUGUAAGAGAAGCGGUAUCUGACCAGAAAGGGACGGCUAACUACGUGCCAGCCGCCGCGGUAAUAC